RNAcentral lists this ribosomal RNA (452 nucleotides) under uncultured bacterium. RNAcentral describes it as "partial 16S ribosomal RNA". It matches the Rfam family "Bacterial small subunit ribosomal RNA", at positions 354 to 796 of the family's 1533-position model. The record is from RNAcentral.
GUCGAGAAUAGUCUACAAUGGUCGAAAGACUGAUAGUGCGACGCCGCGUGAACGAAGAAGCCCUUCGGGGUGUAAAGUUCUUUUAUAUGUGAGCAAUGCCUUUUAUGUGAAUAGCAUGAGAGGAGCGAUAUUAGCAUAUGAAUAAGCAACGGCUAACUCCGUGCCAGCAGCCGCGGUAACACGGGGGUUGCAAGCGUUGUCCGGAAUUACUAGGCGUAAAGGGCAGGUAGGCGGAUAGAUAAGUUUUUUGUCAAAGGCGACGGCUCACCCGUCGUAUGGCAGGAGAUACUGUUUAUCUGGAAUGCGGUUGGGGAAGACAGAAUUCCUGGUGUAGCGGUGGAAUGCGCAGAGAUCAGGAGGAAUACCGAAGGCGAAGGCAGUCUUCUAAGCCGUUAUUGACGCUAAACUGCGAAGGUGUGGGUAUCAAACAGGAUUAGAAACCCGGGUAGUCC